GAUGAAGAACGUAGCGAAAUGCGAUAAGUAAUGCGAAUUGCAGAAUUCCAGUGAGUCAUCGAAUCUUUGAACGCACAUUGCGCCCGCCAGUAUUCUGGCGGGCAUGCCUGUUCGAGCGUCAUUACAACCCUCAGGCCCCCGGGCCUGGCGUUGGGGAUCGGCGGAAGCCCCCUGUGGGCACACGCCGUCCCUCAAAUACAGUGGCGGUCCCGCCGCAGCUUCCAUUGCGUAGUAGCUAACACCUCGCAACUGGAGAGCGGCGCGGCCAUGCCGUAAAACACCCAACUUCUGAAUGUUGACCUCGAAUCAGGUAGGAAUACCCGCUGAACUUAAGCAUAUCAUAAGCGGAGGA
RNAcentral lists this unclassified non-coding RNA (352 nucleotides) under soil metagenome. RNAcentral's name for it is "partial contains 5.8S ribosomal RNA, internal transcribed spacer 2, and large subunit ribosomal RNA". The stretch from base 1 to 121 matches the Rfam family "5.8S ribosomal RNA", at positions 35 to 154 of the family's 154-position model. The record is from RNAcentral.